Molecule: ribosomal RNA, 866 nt
Filed under: delta proteobacterium SCGC AAA007-B19
Lineage: Bacteria; Deltaproteobacteria
Description: SSU rRNA
Rfam family: Bacterial small subunit ribosomal RNA
Source: RNAcentral
GGCGGCAUGCCUAACACAUGCAAGUCGAACGAGAAAGUUCCUUCGGGAGCAAUUAAAGUGGCGCACGGGUGAGUAACGCGUAGACAAUCUGCCCUUCAGUCUGGGACAACUUUUCGAAAGGAGAGCUAAUACCGGAUAACAAUGCAUGACACAAGUUGUAUAUUUGAAAGCUUUAUGUGCUGAAGGAGGGGUCUGCGUUCCAUUAGCUAGUUGGUAAGGUAAAGGCUUACCAAGGCAACGAUGGGUAGCGGGUUUGAGAGGACGAUCCGCCACACUGGAACUGAGACACGGUCCAGACUCCUACGGGAGGCAGCAGUGGGGAAUAUUGCACAAUGGAGGCAACUCUGAUGCAGCAAUGUCGCGUGAGUGAAGAAGGCCCUUGGGUCGUAAAGCUCUUUUAUGGGGGAAGAUGAUGACGGUACCCCAAGAAUAAGCACCGGCUAACUAUGUGCCAGCAGCCGCGGUAAUACAUAGGGUGCGAGCGUUGUUCGGAAUUACUGGGCGUAAAGGGCGCGCAGGCGGAAUAGUAAGUCGGAGGUGAAAGCCCGGGGCUCAACCCCGGAGGGUCUUUCGAAACUACUAAUCUAGAGAGGGUCAGGGGCCGGCAGAAUUCCUGGUGUAGAGGUGAAAUUCGUAGAUAUCAGGAGGAAUACCGGUGGCGAAGGCGGCCGGCUGGGGCCACUCUGACGCUGAGGCGCGAAAGCGUGGGGAGCAAACAGGAUUAGAUACCCUGGUAGUCCACGCCGUAAACGAUGAGCACUGGACGUCCGGAGGGUUCGACCCUUCUGGGUGUCUCAGCUAACGCAUUAAGUGCUCCGCCUGGGGAGUACGGUCGCAAGACUAAACUCAAAAGGGAAUUGACGGGC